RNAcentral lists this ribosomal RNA (700 nucleotides) under uncultured bacterium. Its description in RNAcentral is "bacterial SSU rRNA". It matches the Rfam family "Bacterial small subunit ribosomal RNA", at positions 94 to 824 of the family's 1533-position model. The record is from RNAcentral.
AGUGGCGGACGGGUGAGUAACACGUAAGAAUUUGCCUUUAGGAGGGGGACAACAACUAGAAAUGGUUGCUAAUACCCCAUAUGCUUUCGAGUGAAAUGGAUUUUUCCGCCUAGAGAGAAGCUUGCGGCUGAUUAGCUUGUUGGUGAGGUAAUGGCUCACCAAGGCGACGAUCAGUAUCUGGUUUGAGAGGACGAUCAGACACACUGGAACUGAGACACGGUCCAGACUCCUACGGGAGGCAGCAGUGGGGAAUUUUCCGCAAUGGGCGAAAGCCUGACGGAGCAAUACCGCGUGAGGGAUGACGGCCUAUGGGUCGUAAACCUCUUUUUUCAGGGAGGAAUCAAUGACGUGUACCUGAAGAAUAAGCAUCGGCUAACUCCGUGCCAGCAGCCGCGGUAAGACGGGGGAUGCAAGUGUUAUCCGGAAUCACUGGGCGUAAAGCGUCUGUAGGUGGUCCAAUAAGUCAACUGUUAAAUCUUGAGGCUCAACCUCAAAAUCGCAGUCGAAACUAUUAGACUAGAGUAUAGUAGGGGUAAAGGGAAUUUCCAGUGGAGCGGUGAAAUGCGUAGAGAUUGGAAAGAACACCGAUGGCGAAGGCACUUUACUGGGCUAUUACUAACACUCAGAGACGAAAGCUAGGGUAGCAAAUGGGAUUAGAUACCCCAGUAGUCCUAGCCGUAAACAAUGGAUACUAGAUGUU